GCAUUGGUGGUUCAGUGGUAGAACUCUUGCCUUUCACGCAGGAGACCUGAGUUCAAUUCCUAGCCAAUGUA
Loxodonta africana (African savanna elephant) is the source of this 71-nucleotide transfer RNA. It matches the Rfam family "tRNA". From Rfam's summary of the family: Transfer RNA (tRNA) molecules are approximately 80 nucleotides in length. Their secondary structure includes four short double-helical elements and three loops (D, anti-codon, and T loops). The record is from Rfam. NCBI's taxonomy places the organism in Eukaryota, Metazoa, Chordata, Mammalia, Proboscidea, Elephantidae.